AACAUUUAGCAAUGGAUCUCUUGGCUCUCGCAUCGAUGAAGAACGCAGCAAAUUGCGAAAAUUAAUGUGCAUUGCAGUACGUGAAUCAUCGAGUCUUUGAACGCAACUUGCACUCUAGGUUUGCCUAGAGUAUGCCUAUUUGAGUAUCGGUCAACCCCAGUCGAGUCCCCAGGGUCUUUGGAUCCUUGGACUCGGACCUGUUGAGUCGUGCGCGCAACCCAUUUGGGCGCUGACUUGAAUCAAACUGAUCGGGCCUAUGCGCGCCGCGCCUGGCUCUGACGUGAUAGUGUUGUGUGACAACUCUCACCUCGUCAGCUCUUCUCCCGCUUGGGAGACCAGACGCGGCAUCACUGCUAGUCACCCAGUCACCCACCCCACACACACCAAUCUCGAUCUCAAAUUAGGUAGGACUACCCGCUGAAUUUAAGCAUAUCAAUAAGCGGAGGCU
Molecule: unclassified non-coding RNA, 448 nt
Filed under: uncultured Basidiomycota
Lineage: Eukaryota; Fungi; Basidiomycota
Description: sequence contains ITS2
Rfam family: 5.8S ribosomal RNA (bases 1-149)
Source: RNAcentral